CCUUGUUGCUAAGGGCGGAGGCGCGGGAGGCUGUGGAUCUUGGAGGCCGCGGAUGCCCUCCGGCUCGGCGUCCUCUGUCGGCCUCAGCUUCCAGCCCGACCGGCCGGCCGGAGGGUAUGGAGCCCGAGGCGGGAGGAAAAGGCGCAGCUGGCGGGAGGGGAGAUGGGAGCCCUCGCUCUCUCUGAGCCGAAGCCGCUUACCUGGCCGAAGAGGGGAGCGGGUUUCCAGGGCCGGCCUUGCGCUGGGUGGCGUUACAUCCAGUCUUGGGCAAACACCCCUCCACCCACUCCUACCCCCGACCCCCAUCAAAAAUAAGCUUUGGCCAUACGCUUAGAGAGGGCGAGGGGCAUUUGUGAUCUGAACAGCCAGAAAGGAAAAACUGCGCACAGGUUGUCCCCCAAACUUGGGGCAACCUUGGGAGUUCUGACCUAGUACUGAUUCCCUGAAUGACUUUGGGCAAGACGCUCUUAUUCUCUGAGCCUCGGUUUCCCCUAUCUGUACCAUUAGUGGGUCAAAUCAGACCGUUUCCCACUUGCUUCUGGUUUUGUUUCUGUUUGAGCUUUGGUUUAGAUUCCUUGGUCUUCCAGAGUGUAGUUUAGAUGUGUGCAGAGGGAGAUGUGGGGAGAGGGAGGGGGAUAUGAAAUCGUCAUUUACAUGAACAGUGGACCAGGAGUCCAGCUGAAUAAGGUCCAGGAGCCCAGCUUCGCCCCGUGUGACCUUUAGCAACUCAUGACUCUGAGUACCAGUUUCUUCAUGGAAAAUGACAGGAGAAAUUGCCUUUCUCACAAAAACAGAAAACUCUGAAGAGAUUAGGAAGUGGCUGCCUGAACUAUUUUCCAAAGGAUAAACUUUACAAAAGUAUUGAAUACGGCAGCUCACCGAGAAGAUCCUACUGGUUUGGGAGUAAGUAAUUCUAAAGGUUUUCUUUUCCUUAGAAUGUCCCAUGAAUACACUUCAGAUGGGAAGUAUGGCUCUCAGAAGAUACCAGCUAAGAAUCCAAUCAGUUUUAAGCAGAGCCAAUCCAUUUAUAGCAUAUGCAGUUUCCAGUGACCUAGAUCUAUGGAUGACAUCUGUCCUUGGUUUGAUGACAGUGUUGAAAAAUGGGUUAGGUUGGCAGAUAGGAAGCCCUGCAACCUCUGUCUAACUACAAACAAUACAACAUUCCAAGGUUUUUGAAAACUAUCCUGAAAUUUUUCCUGUGGGCAUAUUUGUGUUACUUGAAAAACUGGAUUCCGCUCUUGGUGGGUGUCAAGCCAAAAGACACAACCAAGCCAAAGAGCUUGGAGAGAAGGAAGGAUUUAGUACUUGCAGCAAGCAAGGAGAACACCAGGGAUAUUUCCCCAAACAGUGUCUCUCCGAACAGCAAAACUGGGGAAGUUUUACGAUAAGGGUGCAUGCAUAUUUAUGAAGGGGCUCAGGUGGUGUAUGCAUAUUCAUGAGGGGCUUGAGCAGAGGA
Long non-coding RNA from Physeter macrocephalus (sperm whale), 1456 nucleotides. RefSeq lists it as uncharacterized. NCBI's taxonomy places the organism in Eukaryota, Metazoa, Chordata, Mammalia, Artiodactyla, Physeteridae. The record is from RefSeq and is a predicted model, not a curated record. The transcript has 3 exons.